AGAGCGAACGCUGGCGGCAGGCCUAACGCAUGCAAGUCGAGCGCGUGUAGCAAUACACGAGCGGCAGACGGGAGAGUAACACGUGGGAACGCGCCCUUCGGUUCGGAAUAACUCAGGGAAACUUGAGCUAAUACCGGAUACGCCCUUACGGGGAAAGAUUUAUUGCCGAAGGAACGGCCCGCGUCCGAUUAGCUAGUUGGUGAGGUAACGGCUCACCAAGGCGACGAUCGGUAGCUGGUCUGAGAGGAUGACCAGCCUCACUGGGACUGAGACACGGCCCAGACUCCUACGGGAGGCAGCAGUGGGGAAUAUUGGACAAUGGGCGCAAGCCUGAUCCAGCCAUGCCGCGUGGAUGAUGAAGGCCUUAGGGUUGUAAAGUCCUUUAACGGGGAAGAUAAUGACGGUACCGUAGAAUAAGCCCGGCUAACUUCGCGCCAGCAGCCGC
RNAcentral lists this ribosomal RNA (445 nucleotides) under uncultured bacterium. RNAcentral's name for it is "SSU rRNA". It matches the Rfam family "Bacterial small subunit ribosomal RNA", at positions 26 to 518 of the family's 1533-position model. The record is from RNAcentral.